RNAcentral lists this transfer RNA (72 nucleotides) under Sus scrofa (pig). It matches the Rfam family "tRNA". From Rfam's summary of the family: Transfer RNA (tRNA) molecules are approximately 80 nucleotides in length. Their secondary structure includes four short double-helical elements and three loops (D, anti-codon, and T loops). Lineage: Eukaryota; Metazoa; Chordata; Mammalia; Artiodactyla; Suidae. The record is from Rfam by way of RNAcentral.
UCCCUGGUGGCCGAGCAGUUAAGGACCAGUGUUGUCACUGCUGUGGCUCAGGUUCGAUCCCUGGCUCGGGAA